AGUAAAUGUGCCUGCGGCGCCUGGUGGGUCCCCCUGCGUCUUCGUUAGUUCCUUUUCCUUCUCUCAGACCUUUGGCUGGAAGCUGGUGGGGCUGAAAGGUGAAGGCUGCCACCUAGAGGUGAACUCUGGCACCUGCCAAAGCCUGCGAGGCGUCUUAUCUUCUCAUCAAGACUCACAGAGAGAACGUAACAGGAUUACUGCUGUGGCUGGAAGAGGCCAAUUCUGCAGCACCCACCGGUUUGCAUGAAGUUUCAAAACAGCUGCAGACAUCCAAAGCACUGGUUGCGGAAGCAUCAGAAAGGUGAAGCCACCCGCCUAAGACCGAAGAGCUAGAAGCAAAAGAGCCAAAUUUCAAAACUGCAAAGUGUUCCUGACCUCUGGGCUGUCCUGCUUCCUGGAAAUUGCUUGGGCAGUGCGCUCCAUCUUCCUGGGGCAUUUAACCCACAAGUUUGCUAGCAGCCAUGUUUUCAAGCUGCAACAACUACUUCUUGGAUGGUGAGAAUUGGGAGAGAUGGCAGAAGGCCUGGGGAAGAGUGGGGAUGCUGGGAAAGCCUCCUGGUGAGAAAGCUCAGGCCACAGCUGGGCCAGGGACAUCCACAGCAGUCUCCAGGCUCUGACACCCCCUCCCCAACCCUGACUCCCUCCCAGGGGAGAGAAUAACUUGGCUCCAAAGCUGAGGCCAGAAUAUAAGCCAGAGAC
Long non-coding RNA from Homo sapiens (human), 699 nucleotides. RefSeq lists it as uncharacterized. Lineage: Eukaryota; Metazoa; Chordata; Mammalia; Primates; Hominidae. The transcript has 3 exons. The record is from RefSeq and is a predicted model, not a curated record.